Molecule: unclassified non-coding RNA, 156 nt
Filed under: uncultured Bartonella sp.
Lineage: Bacteria; Pseudomonadati; Pseudomonadota; Alphaproteobacteria; Hyphomicrobiales; Bartonellaceae
Description: partial 16S-23S ribosomal RNA intergenic spacer
Source: RNAcentral
CUUCAUUUCUCUUUCUUCAGAUGAUGAUCCUAAGCCUUCUGGCGAUCUGUUUGCACAAGCCUCUGAGAGGGAUGAAGAUAUUGUUUUCUUUGAUCAGAUUAUGCCGGUAAAGGUUUUCUGGUUUACCCUAUAGGGCUUGUAGCUCAGUUGGUUAGA